RNAcentral lists this ribosomal RNA (515 nucleotides) under uncultured archaeon. RNAcentral describes it as "bacterial SSU rRNA". It matches the Rfam family "Archaeal small subunit ribosomal RNA", at positions 325 to 847 of the family's 1478-position model. The record is from RNAcentral.
ACGGGGUGCAGCAGGCGCGAAACCUCCGCAAUACACGAAAGUGUGACGGGGUUACCCAAAGUGUUCAAUUUUGAACUGUGGUAGGUGAGUAAUGUUCCCUACUAGAAAGGAGAGGGCAAGGCUGGUGCCAGCCGCCGCGGUAAAACCAGCUCUUCAAGUGGUCGGGAUAAUUAUUGGGCUUAAAGUGUCCGUAGCCGGUUUAGUAAGUUCCUGGUAAAAUCGGGUAGCUUAACUAUCUAUAUGCUAGGAAUACUACUAUACUAGAGGGCGGGAGAGGUCUGAGGUACUGCAGGGGUAGGGGUGAAAUCUUAUAAUCCUUGUUGGACCACCAGUGGCGAAGGCGUCAGACUGGAACGCGCCUGACGGUGAGGGACGAAAGCCAGGGGAGCGAACCGGAUUAGAUAACCCGGGUAGUCCUGGCCGUAAACGAUGCAUACUAGGUGAUAGCACGGCCAUGAGCCGUGUCAGUGCCGUAGGGAAACCGUUAAGUGUGCCGCCUGGAAGUACGUCGCAAG